RNAcentral lists this ribosomal RNA (253 nucleotides) under uncultured bacterium. RNAcentral describes it as "partial 16S ribosomal RNA". It matches the Rfam family "Bacterial small subunit ribosomal RNA", at positions 524 to 776 of the family's 1533-position model. The record is from RNAcentral.
UACGGAGGGGGCUAGCGUUGUUCGGAAUUACUGGGCGUAAAGCGCACGUAGGCGGCUUUGUAAGUUAGAGGUGAAAGCCCGGAGCUCAACUCCGGAAUUGCCUUUAAGACUGCAUCGCUAGAAUUGUGGAGAGGUAAGUGGAAUUCCGAGUGUAGAGGUGAAAUUCGUAGAUAUUCGGAAGAACGCCAGUGGCGAAGGCGACUUACUGGACACAUAUUGACGCUGAGGUGCGAAAGCGUGGGGAGCAAACAGG